AGGUCCUUGUUGUUUAUCUAUUUUAUUUAUUUUUAUAUCUUCGGGCUGCACCUGCGGCAUGUGGAAGUUCCCAUGCUAGGGGCUGAAUUGGAGCUGCAGGUGCUGGCCUACACCAUUGUCACAGCAAUGCCCAAUCUCAGCCAUGUCUGCAACCUACACCACAGCUCAUGGCAACACCAGAUCCUUAACCCACUGAGCGAGGCCAAGGAUCAACCUGAGUCCUUACUAGCUGUGUUAGUUUCUGCUGAGCCACAAUGGGAACUCCUUAGUUAUCUAUUUUAUAUAGAGUAGUGUGUAUCUGUUAAUCCCAAACUCCUAAUUUAGCCCUACCGCUUUCCCCUUUGGAAACCGUAAGUUAGUUUCUGUUUUGUCUGUAAGUUUUGCAUCCUUUUUUUAGAUUCCAUGUAUAAGUGAUAUCAUAUAUUUGUCUUUUUAUGGCUCAUUUCACUUAGUAUGAUAAUUUCUGGGUCCAUGUCACUGCAAAUGGCAUUAUUUCAUGCUUUUUAAAAAUGCUGAGUAGUAUUACAUUGUACUUAUGCUACAUCUUCUUUAUCUACUCCUCAGUUGGUGGACAUAUAGUUGCUUCCAUGUCUUGGCUUUUGUGAAUGGUGCUGCUAUGCACACUGGGGCACAUGCAUCUUGCAUCUUUUCAAAUUAUGGUUUUCUCCAGACCAGCUGCUAUUCUAGAAGGGAGAAGGGAGGAUGGACAAUUAUCCUGAGGACAUCCGAGAUGCCUUAGUCCCAUUCUCAGCACAGCUACUUCUCCCGUCACCCAUUCUCUUGGUUGAUUCUGGUCUGAAAAAUUUCCAAAUGUGGGUGUGUGUUGUGUUUCAGCUCCUGCCUUCCCAACAACCUUCCGUGCCCAAAGCUGUAGGUCCCAGGAUGUCCACUGCUGUUUAUCCAUUGUUUAUCCAUGUAAGAUUGAAAUGUCCCUCGUGUUCAACAGUAAAAAGCCCAUGACAUAAAGUGAUGGGGGAGCCAUGUGCCAGACUAUUAAGGCAUCACCAAAAUUCUGUCAAAACGAUACAGGACAUGUUCACUGUUUAUUGACAGUGCAGGGCUCACAGCCAUAAGUGUCUGUAGGAUGUGACAUGCAGGCGAGGGAAACAAUCUGCCGGGAGUAGCUGUGACCCACCUCUAGCUGAUUUUACCCUGAGACUCUGCGGGUCAGGUGUUGCCCAAUCAUCUGGCUUUUCCAGAAGUUGGAAAGCUGCCUUGGAAUGUGAUGUCUCUGGAUUUCAAAACGUUGGCAACUGAAUAGAUUUGCAAAACAUUCUCUGGACUAAGAUGCAUCUGCAGGCUGGAUCCUGUCAGAAGCCCCUGCCUAAUGAUCUCAAGUUACCAUAGCUCUGAGGAAGAUGAUGAUGGUGGCAAAUAACCCAGGACUGUCUACACCAGGGAUUGUUCUAAGUGCUUAUGUGCCUUGGCUCAUUUAUUUCUGAAGCCCACCCUCUCAGGUAGACAUUGUCACCCCCAUUUUGCAGAUGAGAAAACUGAGGCACAGAGAAGUGAAGUCAUUUGCCUCAGGUCACACAGCUAGUAAGUGUGAAGUCUGACUCCAGCGCCAGACAUUCCUAAUGCUGUUUCUAUGCCCCACUUUCUCUAUAGGCAGGGUGGCUCAAUUUUUGUUUAAACACACAUUCGCAGUCUGCCUGGAGAUACCACAAUAUGCUCACGGCUUAUUUUGUCUUUGGGUGAUGUUUAAAAAAAUCUAUGUUGAGGAGUUCCUGUUGUGGCUCACCAGCAACAAGCCCCAUUAGUAUCCAUGAGGAUGCGGGUUUGAUCCCUGGCCUCGCUCAGUGGGUUAAAGAUCCGGCAUUGCUGUGAGCUGUGGUGUAGGGCACAGACACGGCUCAGAUCUGGCUAUGGUGUAGGCCUGAAGCUGCAGCUCCGAUUCGACCCCUAGCCUGGGAACUUCCACAUGCCUCAGGUGUGGUCCUAAAAAAAAGCAAAAAAACAAAACAAAACAAAACAAAAAACAAACAAACAAAAAAACCCCCCAAAAACCCCAAAACACCAAAACCAAAACAAAACAAACAAAAAAAAACUAUGUUGAAACAUUUUUGUACACUGAACAUCUAUAAACCAGGUAAUAAUAAAAUAAUAAUAAAUAAUAAAGUAAUAAAUGUCAGCAAAGACCAAGGGUUUCAUUCUCUUCCUCUCGUUCCUGUUGCCUGGGGGACAUUCCCAUUUCCACUGCUUCCCAAAGCUACGCAGAUGCCCCUUGGGGGCCUCCCCAGAGGUGGGAUUCAGGUUACUGUACCAGCACCCAAGGCAGAAAACCAGCCUCGUGUAGGGACUUGGUCCAGCGUUGGGCUUUCCCCAAGACUGGAGACGAGGGAGUGAGAGAGGCACAAUGGGCAAAGGGAGGAUGCCUAACAAGGUGCAACUUCGGCAAAGCCCGGUGGGGGGCAGCCUCCGCCCAAUGCCAAGGGCACCAUGGCAUGCGAGUCACCCCCUGCCUAGGAAGGGACCUGGGCUGUCCCACACAGGCACUGACAGUCACCAGGUGAGGGCUGCCCAGGAGAAACUCUCAGGCAGUUCUGGCCCCUGCAGGUGCCGGGAGGGAGCCUCCAGCAGCCAAGGGCGAGGCUCCAGAGAAGAGACACAGAGGCUGGCAGGUAAAGGGGAAGGAAAACAUAAGAAGGCGAUUUUACUGGAUCUGAGCAGAGCACCAAUGUAGUCCAGUACAGACCUGGUUAAAGAUGGGAGAUGCUGGGAGGUACCGCAUCUCAAGGUCCAGGGUUGACUUGGUCUUCUCACUGUGUGACCUCAGACCAGCUUCUCAGCCUCUCUGAGCCCCAGGCUUCUCCCUCCCCUCACUGCCCCAGAGCUUUGUAAACUGUAAAUUUGACACAAAUGUAAGCUGUUUACUUUUCUCUGGGUUGAGAUUUUAUCUGUUUCAUGCCUUAGUUCUAUGUUUAAAUUGGAUGGGACUGUGUAUUGUAGUCCUUUGCCUGGGCUACCAUGACAAAAUAGAAGACUGGGGGCUUAAACAACAGAAAUACAUUUUCUCACAGUUCUGAAGGCUGGAAGUUGGUUUCUGGCUGGUUUUUAGAUGGCGUCUUCUAGCAGAGUUCUCUUUCCUAAGUACAGGGUGGAGGGAAGAGGGGGAGGGUGGAGGAAGGGGGAGGAGGGGGAGGGAAAGGGAGAGGAAGGGAGGAAGAGAGACAGGUAUCUGGUAUUGUCUCUUUUUCUUAUAAGGACACCAAUCCUACCGGAUUAGGGCCCCACCCUAAUGGGGCCCUAAUGACCUCAUUUAACUUAAUCACCCCUUGAAGGCCCCAUCUCCAAUACAGUCACGGUGCAGGUAAGGGCUUAAACCUGUACCAUGGUGGGGGGCAGACACAGUUCAGUCUGUGAUAUGUAGGUAAAAUGCUUGCAUAAUGUAUAGCAGAUGCUGCACAAAUGUUAAUUUCUCUCCCUGCUCCCAUGUUCCUCCCUUCAGCCUCCCUCCCCGCCUCUCCUCUCUCUUCUGACCAGUAUUACAUCCCAGGCCCUGCUCUGAGAUGCCGAACCAAACGGGAAGCAAGACAGACACAGUUUCUGCCUUCAUUUCCUCAGAAAAUAUCUGACCUUUCAUUCACGGUGAAACAAAAUCAAUACGCUCAAGAGGAGGCUUAAGAUCCCCAAAAUGCCAUGUUUGAAAUCAGAGCUGGUAAACCCAGGCCUAACAAACGGAUCUGCCUCAUGGCUCUGUUUUUGGGUGGUCCAGAUUAUGUUGAAACAUUUUUUAAAAUAAUGGCUAAUUUGAAAAUGGGAUUCCACUUAAAAAUGCUAAGUCCCAGCUUUUUUUUUUUAAAUUUCCCUAAUACAUUAUUUUUUUGAUUAUUAGAGAAAUGCAAAUCAAAACUACCUCACACCAGUCAGAAUGGCCAUCAUUAAUAAGUCCACAAAUAACAAGUGUUGGAGGGGCUGUGGAAAAAAGGGAACCCUCCUGCACUGUUGGUGGGAAUGUAAGUUGGUAUAACCACUAUGGAGAACAAUAUGGAGGUAACUUAGAAAACUAUACAUAGAACUACCAUAUGACCCAGCAACCCCAUUCUUGGGCAAAUAUCUGGACAGAACUUUCCUUGAAAAAGACACGUGCACCCGCAUGUUCAUUGCAGCACUAUUCACAAUAGCCAAGACAUGGAAACAACCCAAAUGUCCAUCAACAGAUGAUUGGAUUAGGAAGAUGUGGUC
This 4185-nucleotide long non-coding RNA is filed under the name Sus scrofa (pig). Its description in RNAcentral is "lncRNA (ENSSSCG00055027779.1)". Lineage: Eukaryota; Metazoa; Chordata; Mammalia; Artiodactyla; Suidae. The record is from RNAcentral.